GACGAACGCUGGCGGCGUGCUUAACACAUGCAAGUCGAACGGUGAACCUGCUUCGGUGGGGGAUCAGUGGCGAACGGGUGAGUAACACGUGGGCAACCUGCCCUCAGCUCUGGGAUAACUCCAAGAAAUUGGGGCUAAUACCGGAUAUUUCCGCUGACCGCAUGGUCUGGUGGUGGAAAGAUUCAUCGGCUGGGGAUGGGCCCGCGGCCUAUCAGCUUGUUGGUGGGGUAGUGGCCACCAAGGCGACGACGGGUAGCCGGCCUGAGAGGGUGACCGGCCACACUGGGACUGAGACACGGCCCAGACUCCUACGGGAGGCAGCAGUGGGGAAUAUUGCGCAAUGGGCGAAAGCCUGACGCAGCGACGCCGCGUGGGGAUGACGGCCU
This 386-nucleotide ribosomal RNA is filed under the name uncultured bacterium. Its description in RNAcentral is "bacterial SSU rRNA". It matches the Rfam family "Bacterial small subunit ribosomal RNA", at positions 28 to 417 of the family's 1533-position model. The record is from RNAcentral.